RNAcentral lists this ribosomal RNA (469 nucleotides) under uncultured bacterium. RNAcentral describes it as "partial 16S ribosomal RNA". It matches the Rfam family "Bacterial small subunit ribosomal RNA", at positions 28 to 507 of the family's 1533-position model. The record is from RNAcentral.
GACGAACGCUGGCGGCGUGCUUAACACAUGCAAGUCGAACGGAAAGGCCCUGCUUGCAGGGUGCUCGAGUGGCGAACGGGUGAGUAACACGUGGGUGAUCUGCCCCUUACUUUGGGAUAAGCCUGGGAAACUGGGUCUAAUACUGGAUAGGACCAUGCUGUAGGUGGUGUGGUGGAAAGAUUAGUUUCGGUAAGGGAUGAGCUCGCGGCCUAUCAGCUUGUUGGUGGGGUAAUGGCCUACCAAGGCGUCGACGGGUAGCCGGCCUGAGAGGGUGGACGGCCACAUUGGGACUGAGAUACGGCCCAGACUCAUACGGGAGGCAGCAGUGGGGAAUAUUGCACAAUGGGCGCAAGCCUGAUGCAGCGACGCCGCGUGGGGGAUGACGGCCUUCGGGUUGUAAACUCCUUUCAGCCAUGACGAAGCCCUUGUGGUGACGGUAGUGGUAGAAGAAGCACCGGCUAACUACGUG